Molecule: transfer RNA, 56 nt
Filed under: Trichuris sp. LO613
Lineage: Eukaryota; Metazoa; Nematoda; Enoplea; Trichinellida; Trichuridae
Description: tRNA-Pro
Source: RNAcentral
CAGAUAAUAGUUUAUAGAAAAACAUGAAUCUUGGAUAUUCAAAAAACCUCGUCUGA